Molecule: ribosomal RNA, 460 nt
Filed under: uncultured bacterium
Lineage: Bacteria
Description: partial 16S ribosomal RNA
Rfam family: Bacterial small subunit ribosomal RNA
Source: RNAcentral
CCUACGGGUGGCAGCAGUGAGGAAUAUUGGUCAAUGGACGGAAGCCUGAACCAGCCAUGUCGCGUGAAGGAUGACGGCCCUACGAGUUGUAAACUGCUUUUGUACAAGGGUAAACCUGAAUACGUGUGUUCUGCUGAAAGUACUGUACGAAUAAGGAUCGGCUAACUCCGUGCCAGCAGCCGCGGUAAUACGGAGGAUCCGAGCGUUAUCCGGAUUUACUGGGUGUAAAGGGCGAGUAGGCGGGUUUGCAAGUCAGUUGUGAAAACUAGGGGCUCAACCGAAAGAGUGCAAUUGAAACUGGAGGUCUUGAGUGAUGGAGAGGCAGGCGGAAUUCCCGGUGUAGCGGUGGAAUGCGUAGAUAUCGGGAGGAACACCAGUGGCGAAGGCAGCCUGCUAGACAGUAACUGACGCUGAGGCGCGAAAGCGUGGGGAGCAAACAGGAUUAGAUACCCGAGUAGUC